This 251-nucleotide ribosomal RNA is filed under the name uncultured prokaryote. RNAcentral describes it as "partial 16S rRNA". It matches the Rfam family "Bacterial small subunit ribosomal RNA", at positions 525 to 775 of the family's 1533-position model. The record is from RNAcentral.
ACGUAUGGGGCAAGCGUUGUUCGGAAUUAUUGGGCGUAAAGGGCGUCUAGGCGGGGGAUUAAGUUAGAUGUGAAAGCUAUGGGCUCAACCCAUAAACUGCAUCUAAGACUGGUUCUCUUGAGUCCGGGAGAGGAGCGCGGAAUUCCAGGUGUAGCGGUGAAAUGCGUAGAUAUCUGGAAGAACGCCAGAGGCGAAGGCGGCUCACUGGCUUAGUUCUGACGCUGAUGCGCGAAAGCGUGGGGAGCAAAAAG